CCAAUCCUGAUGUGUUCGUCAUAACCAUUCAGUUUUGACCGAACAACAACGUAAACGGGAGCCUAGCGUUUCUGUGUGGCGUGCAAGCCUCCAAUUAUAGAGUGGAAGUACAAAACAUAGAACAGGGCACCCACCUGCUGGGAGCGGGUUCAAAACGUUCAAGGUGACGGCACGAUUGGGAUUGGU
This 186-nucleotide non-coding RNA is filed under the name Salirhabdus euzebyi. Its description in RNAcentral is "6S / SsrS RNA". It matches the Rfam family "6S / SsrS RNA". Rfam says of the family: E. coli 6S RNA was the first non coding RNA to be sequenced, but its function was unknown until recently. It consists of 184 nucleotides that fold into an extended hairpin structure with a large single-stranded internal bulge. The 6S RNA specifically associates with RNA polymerase holoenzyme containing the sigma70 specificity factor. The record is from Rfam by way of RNAcentral. Lineage: Bacteria; Bacillati; Bacillota; Bacilli; Caryophanales; Bacillaceae.